GUCGUUCCUGCGCUGGUCUGAGCCAGGCUCAAAAGUGAAGAAAAAUCUACCGAUAUAUGAUGUUGGCAUGAUUGAUGGUGGAGUGACGACUGAUUGAUGGCUUUGCGAAGAAGGAAGAUGUUGUUACUGCUAGGCAGGGGGUGUCAAACAUGCGGCCCUCGGACGCUUAACAAUAAUUGUAAAAUUUUAAUUUAGAAAACUACUUUUAUUGACUUGACUACCGACCGUAUGAAUUUUGCGAAAUAACAAACUGACGUCGCUCACGAGGAAGUCUAGUUUAUUUUUCAGCAAGUAAAAAAUCACGAACACAAACUACAAGAAAA
Styela clava is the source of this 323-nucleotide non-coding RNA. NCBI's taxonomy places the organism in Eukaryota, Metazoa, Chordata, Ascidiacea, Stolidobranchia, Styelidae. The record is from RefSeq and is a predicted model, not a curated record.